AUUUUCCUGAACAACAGUUUCUAGAUAUGCAUGCUAAKUCCAAAUUUAUGUGCCAAAUUAGUGUCAGAAUUGUUCAUAGAUUAUGUUACUUUUGUCAGCAUCCAUCCCUGCAUAUCCAUCCRUGAUUCCUGGAACUAUGCCUCCAUCAUUAUGUGAAGUUGGUAGCUACUUUUUUUUUUUAAUUGUCUUAAUUUCUUGACUCCUUAGAUCUCUUAAAAACUAGAUGAAGUCUCACUGUAACCCUUCUUCUUUUGGACUUGCCCUCUUUGAUUAAUGUAUUGUUCUGUGCAAAUAUCUGUUCAUUAUGACUUUUUUUAAAWUAAUUUUUAGCAUACUUUAAUAAUCUUUUUAAGGUAUUCUCCAAAACAGUGUGGACUGAGAUAAUUCAGUUGGCCAAAUACUAAUCUACAAUCAUUGUUUUGUAAUAUAAAUGCUCAUAGUGUGAGAUGAGUGUAUUUUUAUAAAAUGAAUUAUUCCUACCUAUCAUGUUUCAGUUGUGCAGUACCUCUGCUUCAAACCAUGUGAAUAUGGAAGUAUUAUUGAAGUAGUUCUUCUGAUAUUAUAACUGAAUAGUAAUACUGAACUUGAUCUUCAGUACACCUCAGCAGGAUCUCACUAAUGUGUUGUUAAUAAUGAAUUACAGCAUUGUAACUUAAAUGGCUGUUUAAAUGCUGAAGCCUUUUGACAUCUGGAAUUCUUCUGAAAUUCUUCAAUGUUGUAUAUAAGGUAUAACACAGCCACAAAGGAAGAGUCUUCCAUGACCCAAAGGAGGAUGAAAGAUUGUUUCUGGAAUGUAAGUGUAAGAAGUGAUACUUGUAGGAAAUAGGUGAUAAGACAUGGUAAGAAAUCCUUGGAAAACCAGUGUUACUGAUGGCAAUAAGAGUGCACAGGCCUUCCAGCGCACUGCACUGCAGGUGCUUACCUGGAAGAAAGACAACUAGGACCAUACCAGGAAGAAAAACAACUUCUGAAUUUCACAAGCCCAGGUUAUCUGAGCCUCAGAAUAGUAUGUGAAUCCUGUCACAGAUUGGUCAUUCUCAAGAAAUCACAGCUUUGCAAGUGCUGAGGGGAAAAAUGUAUUUCUUUAGUGAAGCCACAAUAUAUGAAUCAAAAAUAUAGAGGAAAUACUUUAUUGUGUAAG
Molecule: long non-coding RNA, 1141 nt
Filed under: Dromaius novaehollandiae (emu)
Lineage: Eukaryota; Metazoa; Chordata; Aves; Casuariiformes; Dromaiidae
Description: lncRNA (ENSDNVG00000009811.1)
Source: RNAcentral